Molecule: ribosomal RNA, 900 nt
Filed under: Bacillus sp. (in: firmicutes)
Lineage: Bacteria; Bacillati; Bacillota; Bacilli; Caryophanales; Bacillaceae
Description: bacterial SSU rRNA
Rfam family: Bacterial small subunit ribosomal RNA
Source: RNAcentral
UGCCUAAUACAUGCAAGUCGAGCGGACAGAUGGGAGCUUGCUCCCUGAUGUCAGCGGCGGACGGGUGAGUAACACGUGGGUAACCUGCCUGUAAGACUGGGAUAACUCCGGGAAACCGGGGCUAAUACCGGAUGCUUGAUUGAACCGCAGGUUCAAUUAUAAAAGGUGGCUUUUAGCUACCACUUACAGAUGGACCCGCGGCGCAUUAGCUAGUUGGUGAGGUAACGGCUCACCAAGGCAACGAUGCGUAGCCAACCUGAGAGGGUGAUCGGCCACACUGGGACUGAAACACGGCCCAAACUCCUACGGGAGGCAGCAUUAGGGAAUCUUCCGCAAUGGACAAAAGUCUGACGGAGCAACGCCGCGGGAGUGAUGAAGGUUUUCGGAUCGUAAAACUCUGUUGUUAGGGAAGAACAAGUACCGUUCGAAUAGGGCGGUACCUUGACGGUACCUAACCAGAAAGCCACGGCUAACUACGUGCCAGCACCCGCGGUAAUACGUAGGUGGCAAGCGUUGUCCGGAAUUAUGGGGCGUAAAGCGCGCGCAGGCCGUUUCUUAAGUCUAAUGUGAAAGCCCCCGGCUCACCCGGGGAGGGUCAUUGGAAACUGGGGAACUUGAGUGCAAAAAAGGAGAGUGGAAUUCCACGUGUAGCGUUGAAAUGCGUAGAGAUGUGAAGGAACACCAGUGGCGAAGGCAACUCUCUGGUCUGUAACUGACGCUGAGGCGCGAAAGCGUGGGGAGCGAACAGGAUUAGAUACCCUGCUAGUCCACGCCGUAAACGAUAAGGGCUAAGUGUAGAGGGUUUCCGCCCUUUAUUGCUGCAGCAAACGCAUUAACACUCCGCCUGGGGAGUACGGUCGCAGGACUGAAACUCAAGGAAUUGACGGGGGCCCGCACAGC